GGGCUAUAGCUCAGCUGGGAGAGCGCCUGCUUUGCACGCAGGAGGUCUGCGGUUCGAUCCCGCAUAGCUCACCA
Molecule: transfer RNA, 74 nt
Filed under: Escherichia coli DEC8C
Lineage: Bacteria; Pseudomonadati; Pseudomonadota; Gammaproteobacteria; Enterobacterales; Enterobacteriaceae
Also listed under: 1 other name
Description: tRNA-Ala
Rfam family: tRNA
About the family: Transfer RNA (tRNA) molecules are approximately 80 nucleotides in length. Their secondary structure includes four short double-helical elements and three loops (D, anti-codon, and T loops).
Source: RNAcentral